AUACGUAGGUGGCAAGCGUUGUCCGGAAUUAUUGGGCGUAAAGGGAGUCGCAGGUGGGAAUGUAAGUCAGUCUUAAAAGUGCGGGGCUCAACCCCGUGAGGGGAUUGAAACUACAUUUCUUGAGUGCAGGAGAGGAAAGUGGAAUUCCUAGUGUAGCGGUGAAAUGCGUAGAGAUUAGGAGGAACACCAGUGGCGAAGGCGACUUUCUGGACUGUAACUGACACUGAGGCUCGAAAGCCAGGGGAGC
Molecule: ribosomal RNA, 247 nt
Filed under: uncultured bacterium
Lineage: Bacteria
Description: partial 16S ribosomal RNA
Rfam family: Bacterial small subunit ribosomal RNA
Source: RNAcentral